This 253-nucleotide ribosomal RNA is filed under the name uncultured bacterium. Its description in RNAcentral is "partial 16S ribosomal RNA". It matches the Rfam family "Bacterial small subunit ribosomal RNA", at positions 524 to 776 of the family's 1533-position model. The record is from RNAcentral.
UACGUAGGGGGCAAGCGUUGUCCGGAUUUAUUGGGCGUAAAGAGCGUGUAGGCGGCCUGAAAGGUCAGCUGUGAAAACUCGAGGCUCAACCUCGAGACGUCGGUUGAAACCAUCUGGCUAGAGUCCGGAAGAGGAGAGUGGAAUUCCCGGUGUAGCGGUGAAAUGCGCAGAUAUCGGGAAGAACACCCGUGGCGAAGGCGGCUCUCUGGGACGGUACUGACGCUGAGACGCGAAAACGUGGGGAGCGAACAGG